RNAcentral lists this ribosomal RNA (496 nucleotides) under uncultured bacterium. RNAcentral describes it as "partial 16S ribosomal RNA". It matches the Rfam family "Bacterial small subunit ribosomal RNA", at positions 28 to 506 of the family's 1533-position model. The record is from RNAcentral.
GACGAACGCUGGCGGCGUGCCUAAUACAUGCAAGUUGAGCGCUGAAGGAUGGUACUUGUACCAACUGGAUGAGCAGCGAACGGGUGAGUAACGCGUGGGGAAUCUGCCUUUGAGCGGGGGACAACAUUUGGAAACGAAUGCUAAUACCGCAUAAAAACUUUAAACACAAGUUUUAAGUUUGAAAGAUACAAUUGCCUCACUCAAAGAUGAUUCGGCGUUGUAUUAGCUAGUUGGUGAGGUAAAGGCUCACCAAGGCGAUGAUACAUAGCCGACCUGAGAGGGUGAUCGGCCACAUUGGGACUGAGACACGGCCCAGACUCCUACGGGAGGCAGCAGUAGGGAAUCUUCGGCAAUGGACGAAAGUCUGACCGAGCAACGCCGCGUGAGUGAAGAAGGUUUUCGGAUCGUAAAACUCUGUUGGUAGAGAAGAACGUUGGUGAGAGUGGAAAGCUCAUCAAGUGACGGUAACUACCCAGAAAGGGACGGCUAACUACGU